GAUGAAGAACGUAGCGAAAUGCGAUAAGUAAUGUGAAUUGCAGAAUUCAGUGAAUCAUCGAAUCUUUGAACGCACCUUGCGCCCUUUGGACAUUCCGAAGGGCAUGCCUGUUUGAGUAUCAUGAACACCUCAACUCUCACGGCUUGUCCGUGAUGAGCUUGGACUUUGGGGGUCUUGCCGGCCUGUGGUCGGCUCCUCUCAAAUGGAUCAGCUUGCCAGUGUUUGGUGGCAUCACAGGUGUGAUAACUAUCUGCGCUUGUGGUUUUCCAUCAGAUAACCUUCAGUGAUAUGGAGGUUCGCUGGAGCUCACAAAUGUCUCUCCUUAGUGAGGACAGCUCUUUGAACGUUUGAUCUCAAAUCAGGUAGGACUACCCGCUGAACUUAAGCAUAUCAAUAAGCGGAGGG
RNAcentral lists this unclassified non-coding RNA (405 nucleotides) under soil metagenome. Its description in RNAcentral is "partial contains 5.8S ribosomal RNA, internal transcribed spacer 2, and large subunit ribosomal RNA". The stretch from base 1 to 121 matches the Rfam family "5.8S ribosomal RNA", at positions 35 to 154 of the family's 154-position model. The record is from RNAcentral.